GUAUCCCACGCGUACACGCCGGUUGCUCCGCACCUUCCGCGCCCCGCCGACGAAUGAUCGCUACGCUUUGUUCGCC
This 76-nucleotide small RNA is filed under the name Xanthomonas euroxanthea. Its description in RNAcentral is "sRNA sX9". It matches the Rfam family "Xanthomonas sRNA sX9". The record is from RNAcentral. Lineage: Bacteria; Pseudomonadati; Pseudomonadota; Gammaproteobacteria; Lysobacterales; Lysobacteraceae.